RNAcentral lists this non-coding RNA (157 nucleotides) under Elusimicrobia bacterium RIFOXYA1_FULL_47_7. RNAcentral's name for it is "6S RNA". It matches the Rfam family "6S / SsrS RNA". Rfam says of the family: E. coli 6S RNA was the first non coding RNA to be sequenced, but its function was unknown until recently. It consists of 184 nucleotides that fold into an extended hairpin structure with a large single-stranded internal bulge. RNAcentral also lists the same sequence under 5 other names. The record is from RNAcentral. Lineage: Bacteria; Pseudomonadati; Elusimicrobiota.
UUGUCCCUGCGAUGUUGGUGUGGUAUUAUCUGAUUUGAACCGACAAGUUCCUUUCAGGGAGUUGCAGGUGAGCUAUACGCCUUAGGGCUAUAGACCCGGACACCCACUUAAUGAAAAGGGCUCAAUCAGAUGAAACUCACGGCAGAGUGGGGAUUUU